CCCUAGCUCUCUCUCUUCUUGGAGUCAAUUUGAUGGAGUAGCUUUUCAUUUCUUGGACACUCAGCAACAGCCUCUCCCACGCGCUCAUGCACAUGCACGCUCGUGCACGUUUACUCUCCUAGCGUCUAGUGUGAGUGUGUGAAAGAGACCCUUCCUAUAGCUGCUGAUAUCCUGGAUUUUUAAGAUCGUUCAUUUUGAGUGUCCCCACCUUCGGGCUGUGAGGAGGACGGCCACCCCCGCAGCUACGGGUCCAGAAUCUCCAUCCUCAGCCGCAGAGAGAAGAGCAGCUGGAAGAGGAGGAAGAGGGAGGAAGAGAAGGAGAGAGAGAGCUGGGCCCAGAGCGCUCCAGCACUGGCAGCGGGGGGAAGAAGCGUGCUUCUUUGGGGCUUAACGAAGGUGCAAGCAUGCGCUGCUCCACCUCCUGUGUAUCCUGACGGGGGUGCUGCUCUACUAGUGCUGGGGCCGUGGUGUUCCAGGCCCUGGAGGCUCCCAUGAGGAGGGCCAGCACAUACAGCUGCAGGACACACAAAGGCCUUCCUGGAGAACUACACCUGCAUCAGCCCAG
Salvelinus sp. IW2-2015 is the source of this 565-nucleotide non-coding RNA. The record is from RefSeq and is a predicted model, not a curated record. Lineage: Eukaryota; Metazoa; Chordata; Actinopteri; Salmoniformes; Salmonidae.